RNAcentral lists this ribosomal RNA (280 nucleotides) under uncultured bacterium. RNAcentral describes it as "partial 16S ribosomal RNA". It matches the Rfam family "Bacterial small subunit ribosomal RNA", at positions 333 to 624 of the family's 1533-position model. The record is from RNAcentral.
CGUAUCCUACGGGGGGCAGCAGUCGAGAAUCAUUCACAAGGGGGGAAACCCUGAUGGUGUGACGCCGCGUGGGGGAAUGAAGGUCUUCGGAUUGUAAACCCCUGUCAUGUGGGAGCAAAUUAAAAAGAUAGUACCACAAGAGGAAGAGACGGCUAACUCUGAGCCAGCAGCCGCGGUAAUACAGAGGUCUCAAGCGUUGUUCGGAAUCACUGGGCGUAAAGCGGGCGUAGGCUGUUUCGUAAGUCGUGGGUGAAAGGCGCGGGCUCAACCCGCGGACGGC